Molecule: long non-coding RNA, 1431 nt
Organism: Ictalurus punctatus (channel catfish)
Lineage: Eukaryota; Metazoa; Chordata; Actinopteri; Siluriformes; Ictaluridae
Source: Ensembl
AGGUUUCUGUUCAAGUAGAAGUAACAACACCUCAUGUGGAACCAAGAGGUUCAAUUCUGAGUAACCUACCAGGUCUCUGGAUGCCAACACAGCUUUCUCAGCUGCUGCUACUGCACGUACACACGGGGGAAACUCUGCAGUGACUGGAUCCAACUUACCUGAGAAUGAGCUGUCCAACCUGUCACAUUUGCCAUCUCUCUAAGUGUUGCUUCUACAAUGGAAUAGUUUAGAAUGAAAGUUCUGCAAUACGAACAUAUACCUGGGAAAGAUAGAACCUGUUUCUUCAUCAGAGGCUUUGGAAUCUUCUAGAUUGCAGAUACUCUGUCUGCGGAGAGUUUAUUUCCCUUUGCAGAAAUGUCAUGACCCAAGACUCUCACUUCUUGCUGUAUAUAUCUUGCUGUACAUUAGCAGGAAUGUAGCAAAACAUGGAGGUGAAAGCAGCGGUCUGUUUAUUUAAAUGUGAAAGUGCAAUAAAAAUAUGUCGUCACUAAAAUCAAUGAAUAAUCGUGAUAAAUAAUCGGGAUUAACAUUUUGGCCAUAAUCGUGCAGCCCUAAUAUAUACCCGUCAGUAUAUAUCUUAGUUUUGAAGCGGUGAUCUAAGAAACACCAAUAUCUCUGCCGUCGCAGAGGCGAAGUUCCUGGAACUUCUUAUAAGAAUUCACUUCAUGUAAUACUUCUCUCAAUGUAAUAUACGCAUUUCUUAUAUCAUUGACUCCCUUCCCUAGAGACAGCAGUACACAAUGACUUCAUAAAAUUCUAAUUCUAAUUCUAAAUUCUUGAUGAUUCAUACCAGUUACUGUUAAGGCUGCAUCCUUCUUUCGCUCUGCACAACAAAGGGUAAAUCGCCUUCGCGUCAACACAGACUUCAGAGUGAAACUUUUCCACGAGCGUCCUCCGGUUUGCUUGUUGUCCAGAAAAGCUGAAAAGACUCGCGCAGCCCACCCAGGGAUGCCAAAUUGUCGUGGAAAAUAGACAACACUCGCAAACUCAUCCUCUGAAGACUGGACAUUCUCCUUUUAGGAUUUUCUGGUAGAGAGCAGAAUUCAUGUUUCCCUCGAUUAUUGCAAGUUGCCCAGGCCCUGAAACAGCAAAGCAUCCCCACACCAUCACACUUCCACCACCAUGCCUGAGCUUAGUUCCAUUUUCAACUCAUCAGUCCACAGAACAUUCUCCCAAAAGUUUUGAGGAUCAUCAAGCUGUGUUUUGGUAAAAUUCAGACAAGAGUUAAUGUUCUUCUGGGUUAGCAGUGGUUUUCACCUCGCCACUCUUCCAUGGAUGCCAUUUUUGCCCAGUGUCUUUCUGAUAGUGGAGUCAUGAACAGUGACUUUUAUUGAUGCAAGAGAGGCCUGUAGGUCCUUUGAUGCAGUCCUUGGGUCCUUUUUGACUUCCUGAAUGAGUUGCUGUGCUCUUGGAGGAAUUUUGUAAGGUCAG